UUUUUUUUUUUUUGGCCCAUAUGCAGUAAUGCACUCAAGGAUACUCAGCUCUUAAGGCUGGGAAGUGAUCUUCGGCAGAUGAAUGCAAGUGCAGGGCUUGCAGGGGGGCUCUAUGCUUGUGACAUGUGAUGAUAGUAUGUUUCUACUUGGGCAUCGGCAGGAUUUUGAGGGCUCUGAUUGCUGGAAAGUAACCGUGUCUGUACGUCAAAUAAGAAGAUGAGGUCACACUGUGAGAGUGGCUGAAGUCAGUUUAGGAGGAACAGAAGGCUGCUGAGCUUUUCUAUUCUGCUUUUGUUCAGACCUCCUGCUGCUUCUCUGUUCUAAAGGAAGACUGUACCAUCUUGGGAGGUGAGACGAGGAACCACCGUAAAACCACUUAGACCAUAUGUUGACUUUCAGACUUGGCUGAUUACGUCAAUCCAUGCUUCAGCAAAAGUUAGUUGAAAGGGAAGAUGGUUCAACCAGAAACUCCUAAAGGCACCGAGGUCAUACUCAUUCAACCAGCCCGUCACAUGCUUCUGCUGCAAAGCCGAUCCAAGAAAUGCGUUUUUCUUUCCACUUCAAGGUUGCUAAAACUUGACUUUACCCAGAUAACAUAACUGUUUUUUGGAAAUGAAGACAGUCCAAAAACGAACUGUGUGCCCUCUGUAAGUUGUUGUUUUGUUUUGUUUUGUUUUUAGGGCCUCACUCACAGCAUGUGGAAGUUCCCAGGUACAGGUUGAAUCAGAGCUGUAGCUGCCGGUCUACACCACAGCCACAGCCAUGCAGGAUCCAAGCCACAUCUGCGACCUACACCACAGCUCAUGGCAAUGCUGAAUCCUAACCUACUGAGGGAGGCCAGGGUUCGAACCCAUGUUCUCAUAGAUCCUAGGUGGAUUCAAUACCGCUGAGCCACAAUGAGAAGCUCCGUCUCAGGUUUAAUUGGGGAUAAUGAUUGUACCCUCUCAAAGAGUUUUUGAGGGGAUUUGAUGAGAAAACCCAUUUAAGGCACUUAGUAUAGUGCCGAGAACCCAGGAAAACCUUGAUCAAUGGUGAACUGGUAUGGAUAGUUCUACUUUCUUUAAAAAAAAUCUUUAUCAAUUGGUUGUCAUUCUUUGCUCCUGUCCCCCUCUCAGUCUUUGAAAUGUCCUAUUAGCUUGAUUUCAUGAUCAAACCUUUUUACUUCUCUUUAAGGGCAUUUGAGUUGGAGAACAUGGUUAGGAAACUGAACCAGGAUUCCUUCUUCACCGGAGCCACGUUCUAAUUAACUAACUGUCCAACUGUACCGGUAUUAGAAGGAUGAUGAGCAAUGAACUUGGGAAUCCUGGCGCUAGAUCUGUCCGAGCUCUGCUCCGCUUGGUGUAAAUAGCUCUGGGUCUCCAGGGGAGGUGCUAGGGCACCGCACCCCUAAAGGAGGGAGUUGCAAGGUUUUCUCUGCGAAGGGAAAGUAGCCAAAAGAACAUAUCUUACUCUCCCUUCACUGUGGGAACAACACCAGGCACAUUCCAUGGAUAACCAGAGCCAGUGAAAACGAAGCCCACUUAUGGCAUCCCUGGAAUGGCUGAGAAUCUAUCUGCCCUUGAACUUCAUAGAUGGUGAUUCCCAGAAUGACUGGGCAGUAUCCUUAUGAUGUGAGCCACAGGGGAAGUCCAUGCAAUGUCCUUAAAGAAUGGCUGCUGGGUGCUUGACAACAUGGGGACAGCACAGCUGUCCAGAACCAUCAGCCUCUCCCGGAGAAGCUAAGGCCUCCCUGUGGAGAGUAAACCGCAGUAACACAAGGAUACAUGAAUGGACAACUGGGCUUUUAAGGGUCUCUGGGGGUGGAUCAGACCUUUCUCUUAUCCUUGCAAUACUCCUUUUGGAAUCUUUGUCCUUUGGUCAAUGUCUACGAUUACCGUGGAGGCUGGUAGAAUGAAAGGGUCUGGUUCUCUUGCAUGUGCUGGAUAGGAAAGUGGCUUCCAGGAGACUGGAGAUGGAGAGUGAGCUCAGAAAGUGGCCUUGAUUUUUAUCUCCUGGGGGUGGGAGGAGAGGACGAUGAAGAGUAAAUACCACCUCUUAUCGAGAGCUUGCUCUGUGUUAGGUAUUGCACAAAGCACUGGGGAUGCAGUUGCUCCCUUAGUCCUACGGCAAGACAGGGGCUAGGAUCAUGUCCAAUUUUGGGGUGAGGAAACCCAAACCGAAAGAGGUUAGAUAAUUUACUCAGGUCUGCACAGCUAGUGGAGAGUAGAACUGGGUCUAGAACAAGACCCUCUGAUCCCAGAAGCUGUCCUCUUAAAUGACUUUUAAUGGGUCUCGGAGAAACCUUGAACCGAGCCUCUUUCUUCAAGAGCAGCCCCUACGUCUUUGAUGAUGUCCUUGAUGCUAAGUUCCCAAAGGAAAGGGUCCGUGUCUUCUUAGAAUUUAGGAUACCUCCGCCUGGAUGUUGGCUCUCAAGAGAUAACCAAAAAAUGUUUAUCUGUUGAUCCGACUGAACCGCUCAGGUCUAUGUGGCAGUUUCUAACAGCUAGACUCACAAACUAGGUGCUGUGGCUGCCUUACAUUCUUGCAAACAAAAAUACCACACUUCUUUCAAGAUUGGAAUCAAAUUCCAUUCAAUCAAAGAGCAAUCCUUCUCUCCCUCCCUUCCUUCCUUCUUUCCUUCCUUCCUGGCAAGAUGUUGGCAUUAGGAACAUUGUCUUUCUCUCCAUCUAUUUGUCAUUUACCAACAUUCUGUGGUCACGAGCCCCUGACACGGUGCCUGGCACAUGUUUGGACGAAGAUCUAAAACCACAGCUUAAAAAAACUUGUCACCAUGGGAAUGUACCCUUAUCCCUUAAAUAUGUAAAGGGACAGCGUUACCAGCCCCCCAUGUAAUAUGGAGGGGAUGAGGCUGGUUAGCGUAGGUGGUCACACUCAGGAAGGUAUCCUGAAUGUCUCUAGAUACAGAGGUCACUAGUCCUGUAUAUGAUAUGGCUUUUUUGGGUGGGGAGGGGUGUGAGUGUGCGGAAUUGAUUAGUUCUUAAAAGAAUAUAUCUGAUCAACAGAAGAGGGGCUGAUUCUAUCAGGUCGCCUUGGCCGUUGAGGCUUGGCACUUGUUCUUUAAAGAAGAACGAAGAUUAUUAUCCUGAUAUGAAGGUCUGCCAGAGGCCCAAAGUGAAGACAUGUCUUGCCGACAGCCUCAAAGCCCAUGAAGAGGCCUGAGAGACUUGCCCAGCACGGGACAAACACCCCACUGCUUGCUCUUUUGGACAAAGAAAAGGGGUGACACGUGCGUUCCUAGGAGAACGUUGGGGCUUUUAUCGUUAAAGAAAAAAAGCAUUACUGC
RNAcentral lists this long non-coding RNA (3283 nucleotides) under Sus scrofa (pig). RNAcentral describes it as "lncRNA (ENSSSCG00035046804.1)". The record is from RNAcentral. Lineage: Eukaryota; Metazoa; Chordata; Mammalia; Artiodactyla; Suidae.